RNAcentral lists this ribosomal RNA (112 nucleotides) under Anolis carolinensis (green anole). The record is from RNAcentral. Lineage: Eukaryota; Metazoa; Chordata; Lepidosauria; Squamata; Anolidae.
GCCUAACUACCCUAAUGGCACUAGAUCCUGUUUAAUCUUGGAAGCUAAGGAGGAUGAGGCCUGAUUAGUACUUGGAUGGGAUACUGCCUGUGAAUACCAGAUAAUGUGGGCU